CGACAAAUCCCAAAGGUAUAUAACCCUUCAAUACCCUGCAAGCUAAGGAAGCAAUUUUUCUUCUAUAAAAUCAUUAAAUUUAUGUCAUUUUCUUAGUGUUUUCUUAUCCAUAUUUAAUCAGUACAGAUUCAUGGGAAGACUACUAUUACCUAUCACAGUUUACCAUGACACUCUCAUUUUGCAUUUUCAUGCAGCAGUACAAAGAACAAGAAUGCAUCAAACAAUCGAGGACAGGCAGAGUAAUGCUGCGAGGGGAAACAUAUGGAGGUACUAUGCAAGACAUAGCAGAUUGAACCAGUUCCACUUAAUACCUUCCUAACAAUGACACAAAUUAUAAACCAUGAAGGGCAACAUCCAGCUAUGCUACAAUGAAGAUACAAGCUUCAAUGCCUUCCAUACCAGUUACUUAUAGUAUAACAUUAUCAAUAAUCGUUACCUUCAUCGCUACCUACUGUAAAUAAGAAACAUUCUCAAAAUUCUAAAUGUCCUUUAGGAGUACAAAACUAUAUAUAUAUANAAUAUAUAUAUUAUGAUGUGAGACUACAUGUAUCUGCAACAACUGUUGAUGUCAUAUGUACCUUUUCUCUG
RNAcentral lists this long non-coding RNA (588 nucleotides) under Hordeum vulgare. Its description in RNAcentral is "long non-coding RNA (HVUL_LNC014914)". Lineage: Eukaryota; Viridiplantae; Streptophyta; Magnoliopsida; Poales; Poaceae. The record is from RNAcentral.